GAGCCAGCUCAGCCCAGAGGUUACAUCGACCAAAACUUUGCUUAGAUCCCCUAAUCGCUUCCAGCGGUUUAAGACCCGCGGGCGCUGCCUGACUUU
This is a non-coding RNA of Podarcis lilfordi (Lilford's wall lizard), 96 nucleotides long. The record is from the annotation of a GenBank genome assembly. Lineage: Eukaryota; Metazoa; Chordata; Lepidosauria; Squamata; Lacertidae.